UUGGAUGUGAGCACAGUGAGGCGAUAGGUAGUGCAUUUCAGCAACAGUGGGUCACCUCCACUAGUACAGAUGUUUAUGAGCAUGGCAUGUAGGCUCUUAUUCAUCACUAGUGAUAAUGCUAAUGCUGGUGACUACAAUGAAAAAUAGUGUUUUGUAGCUGAAAAUUUGCUCUAUCAAAUAGCGUUAUUGUUCUUUCCAUAUUUUUUGUAGUUUCCAUGGAAAUAAGUAGGAGGCAUUACUUUUGGAGCGACCUACGUAGCAUGGAAUUUCUGCUGGGAAUGAGACAAAUGGAGAAGGGACCAAGAUAAAUCCUGGCCUUGGAGUGGUUACAAAGUUGGCCCACGACUCGACCUGAGGGCUUUGUAAUAGAGAAAUUACGCCAAGUUGAAGUCUCAGACCCAGUGAGUGACGAGUACCAUAAUCUCACCCCAAGGACCAGCACACUCACCAUGUCAAAGAAGGCACUCAAAAUACCUGAGAAAUAAAUUACAAUUACUAUCAUAUUUAACA
Molecule: long non-coding RNA, 510 nt
Filed under: Phasianus colchicus (ring-necked pheasant)
Lineage: Eukaryota; Metazoa; Chordata; Aves; Galliformes; Phasianidae
Description: lncRNA (ENSPCLG00000002575.1)
Source: RNAcentral